Molecule: ribosomal RNA, 253 nt
Filed under: uncultured bacterium
Lineage: Bacteria
Description: partial 16S ribosomal RNA
Rfam family: Bacterial small subunit ribosomal RNA
Source: RNAcentral
CACGAAGGGUGCUAGCGUUGUUCGGAAUUACUGGGCGUAAAGCGCGCGUAGGCGGCUUUUCAAGUCAGGGGUGAAAUCCCACAGCUCAACUGUGGAAUUGCCUUUGAAACUGUAAAGCUUGAGUGUCGGAGGGGAUAGCGGAAUUGCUAAUGUAGAGGUGAAAUUCGUAGAUAUUAGCAGGAACACCGGUGGCGAAGGCGGCUAUCUGGACGACAACUGACGCUGAGGCGCGAAAGCGUGGGGAUCAAACAGG